Molecule: ribosomal RNA, 1059 nt
Filed under: uncultured beta proteobacterium
Lineage: Bacteria; Pseudomonadati; Pseudomonadota; Betaproteobacteria
Description: bacterial SSU rRNA
Rfam family: Bacterial small subunit ribosomal RNA
Source: RNAcentral
AAGCUUGAUCCUGGCUCAGAUUGAACGCUGGCGGCAUGCCUUACACAUGCAAGUCGAACGGCAGCACGGACUUCGGUCUGGUGGCGAGUGGCGAACGGGUGAGUAAUGUAUCGGAACGUACCUUUCAGUGGGGGAUAACGUAGCGAAAGUUACGCUAAUACCGCAUAUUCUGUGAGCAGGAAAGCAGGGGAUCGCAAGACCUUGCGCUGAUUGAGCGGCCGAUAUCAGAUUAGCUAGUUGGUGGGGUAAAGGCCUACCAAGGCUACGAUCUGUAGCGGGUCUGAGAGGAUGAUCCGCCACACUGGAACUGAGACACGGUCCAGACUCCUACGGGAGGCAGCAGUGGGGAAUUUUGGACAAUGGGGGCAACCCUGAUCCAGCCAUGCCGCGUGAGUGAAGAAGGCCUUCGGGUUGUAAAGCUCUUUCGGCCGGGAAGAAAUCGCAUAGGUUAAUACCCUGUGUGGAUGACGGUACCGGAAUAAGAAGCACCGGCUAACUACGUGCCAGCAGCCGCGGUAAUACGUAGGGUGCGAGCGUUAAUCGGAAUUACUGGGCGUAAAGCGUGCGCAGGCGGUUGUGUAAGACAGGCGUGAAAUCCCCGGGCUCAACCUGGGAACUGCGCUUGUGACUGCACAGCUAGAGUACGGCAGAGGGGGGUGGAAUUCCACGUGUAGCAGUGAAAUGCGUAGAGAUGUGGAGGAACACCGAUGGCGAAGGCAGCCCCCUGGGCCGAUACUGACGCUCAUGCACGAAAGCGUGGGUAGCAAACAGGAUUAGAUACCCUGGUAGUCCACGCCCUAAACGAUGUCAACUAGGUGUUGGGUGGGUAAAACCAUUUAGUACCGUAGCUAACGCGUGAAGUUGACCGCCUGGGGAGUACGGCCGCAAGGUUAAAACUCAAAGGAAUUGACGGGGACCCGCACAAGCGGUGGAUGAUGUGGAUUAAUUCGAUGCAACGCGAAAAACCUUACCUACCCUUGACAUGUCCAGAAGCCCGGAGAGAUUUGGGUGUGCCCGAAAGGGAACUGGAACACAGGUGCUGCAUGGCUGUCGUCGGAU